This 253-nucleotide ribosomal RNA is filed under the name uncultured bacterium. RNAcentral describes it as "partial 16S ribosomal RNA". It matches the Rfam family "Bacterial small subunit ribosomal RNA", at positions 524 to 776 of the family's 1533-position model. The record is from RNAcentral.
UACGGAGGAUGCAAGCGUUAUCCGGAAUGAUUGGGCGUAAAGCGUCCGCAGGCGGCAUUUCAAGUCUGCUGUCAAAGACCGGGGCUCAACCUCGGAAAGGCAGUGGAAACUGAACAGCUAGAGUAUGGUAGGGGCAAAGGGAAUUCCUGGUGUAGCGGUGAAAUGCGUAGAGAUCAGGAAGAACAUCGGUGGCGAAGGCGCUUUGCUGGACCAUAACUGACACUCAGGGACGAAAGCUAGGGGAGCGAAUGGG